UUAAGCGACUAAGCGUACACGGUGGAUGCCCUGGCAGUCAGAGGCGAUGAAGGACGUGCUAAUCUGCGAUAAGCGUCGGUAAGGUGAUAUGAACCGUUAUAACCGGCGAUUUCCGAAUGGGGAAACCCAGUGUGUUUCGACACACUAUCAUUAACUGAAUCCAUAGGUUAAUGAGGCGAACCGGGGGAACUGAAACAUCUAAGUACCCCGAGGAAAAGAAAUCAACCGAGAUUCCCCCAGUAGCGGCGAGCGAACGGGGAGGAGCCCAGAGCCUGAAUCAGUGUGUGUGUUAGUGGAAGCGUCUGGAAAGGCGCGCGAUACAGGGUGACAGCCCCGUACACAAAAAUGCACAUACUGUGAGCUCGAUGAGUAGGGCGGGACACGUGGUAUCCUGUCUGAAUAUGGGGGGACCAUCCUCCAAGGCUAAAUACUCCUGACUGACCGAUAGUGAACCAGUACCGUGAGGGAAAGGCGAAAAGAACCCCGGCGAGGGGAGUGAAAAAGAACCUGAAACCGUGUACGUACAAGCAGUGGGAGCACGCUUAGGCGUGUGACUGCGUACCUUUUGUAUAAUGGGUCAGCGACUUAUAUUCUGUAGCAAGGUUAACCGAAUAGGGGAGCCGAAGGGAAACCGAGUCUUAACUGGGCGUUAAGUUGCAGGGUAUAGACCCGAAACCCGGUGAUCUAGCCAUGGGCAGGUUGAAGGUUGGGUAACACUAACUGGAGGACCGAACCGACUAAUGUUGAAAAAUUAGCGGAUGACUUGUGGCUGGGGGUGAAAGGCCAAUCAAACCGGGAGAUAGCUGGUUCUCCCCGAAAGCUAUUUAGGUAGCGCCUCGUGAAUUCAUCUCCGGGGGUAGAGCACUGUUUCGGCAAGGGGGUCAUCCCGACUUACCAACCCGAUGCAAACUGCGAAUACCGGAGAAUGUUAUCACGGGAGACACACGGCGGGUGCUAACGUCCGUCGUGAAGAGGGAAACAACCCAGACCGCCAGCUAAGGUCCCAAAGUCAUGGUUAAGUGGGAAACGAUGUGGGAAGGCCCAGACAGCCAGGAUGUUGGCUUAGAAGCAGCCAUCAUUUAAAGAAAGCGUAAUAGCUCACUGGUCGAGUCGGCCUGCGCGGAAGAUGUAACGGGGCUAAACCAUGCACCGAAGCUGCGGCAGCGACGCUUAUGCGUUGUUGGGUAGGGGAGCGUUCUGUAAGCCUGUGAAGGUGUGCUGUGAGGCAUGCUGGAGGUAUCAGAAGUGCGAAUGCUGACAUAAGUAACGAUAAAGCGGGUGAAAAGCCCGCUCGCCGGAAGACCAAGGGUUCCUGUCCAACGUUAAUCGGGGCAGGGUGAGUCGACCCCUAAGGCGAGGCCGAAAGGCGUAGUCGAUGGGAAACAGGUUAAUAUUCCUGUACUUGGUGUUACUGCGAAGGGGGGACGGAGAAGGCUAUGUUGGCCGGGCGACGGUUGUCCCGGUUUAAGCGUGUAGGCUGGUUUUCCAGGCAAAUCCGGAAAAUCAAGGCUGAGGCGUGAUGACGAGGCACUACGGUGCUGAAGCAACAAAUGCCCUGCUUCCAGGAAAAGCCUCUAAGCAUCAGGUAACAUCAAAUCGUACCCCAAACCGACACAGGUGGUCAGGUAGAGAAUACCAAGGCGCUUGAGAGAACUCGGGUGAAGGAACUAGGCAAAAUGGUGCCGUAACUUCGGGAGAAGGCACGCUGAUAUGUAGGUGAAGUCCCUUGCGGAUGGAGCUGAAAUCAGUCGAAGAUACCAGCUGGCUGCAACUGUUUAUUAAAAACACAGCACUGUGCAAACACGAAAGUGGACGUAUACGGUGUGACGCCUGCCCGGUGCCGGAAGGUUAAUUGAUGGGGUCAGCGCAAGCGAAGCUCUUGAUCGAAGCCCCGGUAAACGGCGGCCGUAACUAUAACGGUCCUAAGGUAGCGAAAUUCCUUGUCGGGUAAGUUCCGACCUGCACGAAUGGCGUAAUGAUGGCCAGGCUGUCUCCACCCGAGACUCAGUGAAAUUGAACUCGCUGUGAAGAUGCAGUGUACCCGCGGCAAGACGGAAAGACCCCGUGAACCUUUACUAUAGCUUGACACUGAACAUUGAGCCUUGAUGUGUAGGAUAGGUGGGAGGCUUUGAAGUGUGGACGCCAGUCUGCAUGGAGCCGACCUUGAAAUACCACCCUUUAAUGUUUGAUGUUCUAACGUGGACCCGUAAUCCGGGUUGCGGACAGUGUCUGGUGGGUAGUUUGACUGGGGCGGUCUCCUCCUAAAGAGUAACGGAGGAGCACGAAGGUUGGCUAAUCCUGGUCGGACAUCAGGAGGUUAGUGCAAUGGCAUAAGCCAGCUUGACUGCGAGCGUGACGGCGCGAGCAGGUGCGAAAGCAGGUCAUAGUGAUCCGGUGGUUCUGAAUGGAAGGGCCAUCGCUCAACGGAUAAAAGGUACUCCGGGGAUAACAGGCUGAUACCGCCCAAGAGUUCAUAUCGACGGCGGUGUUUGGCACCUCGAUGUCGGCUCAUCACAUCCUGGGGCUGAAGUAGGUCCCAAGGGUAUGGCUGUUCGCCAUUUAAAGUGGUACGCGAGCUGGGUUUAGAACGUCGUGAGACAGUUCGGUCCCUAUCUGCCGUGGGCGCUGGAGAACUGAGGGGGGCUGCUCCUAGUACGAGAGGACCGGAGUGGACGCAUCACUGGUGUUCGGGUUGUCAUGCCAAUGGCACUGCCCGGUAGCUAAAUGCGGAAGAGAUAAGUGCUGAAAGCAUCUAAGCACGAAACUUGCCCCGAGAUGAGUUCUCCCUGACUCCUUGAGAGUCCUGAAGGAACGUUGAAGACGACGACGUUGAUAGGCCGGGUGUGUAAGCGCAGCGAUGCGUUGAGCUAACCGGUACUAAUGAACCGUGAGGCUUAACCUU
This 2902-nucleotide ribosomal RNA is filed under the name Escherichia coli. Its description in RNAcentral is "23S ribosomal RNA". It matches the Rfam family "Bacterial large subunit ribosomal RNA". The record is from RNAcentral. Lineage: Bacteria; Pseudomonadati; Pseudomonadota; Gammaproteobacteria; Enterobacterales; Enterobacteriaceae.